UGGGGAAUUUUGCACAAUGGGGGAAACCCUGAUGCAGCGACGCCGCGUGAUUUAGAAGGCCUUCGGGUUGUAAAAAUCUUUUCUAUGGGAAGAAAAUGACAGUACCAUAGGAAUAAGGACCGGCUAAUUACGUGCCAGCAGCCGCGGUAAUACGUAAGGUCCGAGCGUUGUCCGGAAUCAUUGGGCGUAAAGGGUACGUAGGCGGGUAAGCAAGUUAGAAUUGAAAUCCUAUAGCUCAACUAUAGUAAGCUUUUAAAACUGCUCAUCUUGAGGUAUGGAAGGGAAAGUGGAAUUCCUAGUGUAGCGGUGAAAUUCGCAGAUAUUAGGAGGAGUACCGGUGGCGAAGGCGACUUUCUGGCCAUAACCUGACGCUGAGGUACGAAAGCGUGGGUAGCAAACAGG
This 402-nucleotide ribosomal RNA is filed under the name bacterium. RNAcentral's name for it is "partial 16S ribosomal RNA". It matches the Rfam family "Bacterial small subunit ribosomal RNA", at positions 355 to 776 of the family's 1533-position model. The record is from RNAcentral.